GUAGGUGAAGUGAUUUACUCAUGGAGCUGAAGUCAGUCGAAGAUACCAGCUGGCUGCAACUGUUUAUUAAAAACACAGCACUGUGCAAACACGAAAGUGGACGUAUACGGUGUGACGCCUGCCCGGUGCCGGAAGGUUAAUUGAUGGGGUCAGCGCAAGCGAAGCUCCUGAUCGAAGCCCCGGUAAACGGCGGCCGUAACUAUAACGGUCCUAAGGUAGCGAAAUUCCUUGUCGGGUAAGUUCCGACCUGCACGAAUGGCGUAAUGAUGGCCAGGCUGUCUCCACCCGAGACUCAGUGAAAUUGAACUCGCUGUGAAGAUGCAGUGUACCCGCGGCAAGACGGAAAGACCCCGUGAACCUUUACUAUAGCUUGACACUGAACAUUGAGCCUUGAUGUGUAGGAUAGGUGGGAGGCUUUGAAGUGUGGACGCCAGUCUGCAUGGAGCCGACCUUGAAAUACCACCCUUUAAUGUUUGAUGUUCUAACGUGGACCCGUGAUCCGGGUUGCGGACAGUGUCUGGUGGGUAGUUUGACUGGGGCGGUCUCCUCCUAAAGAGUAACGGAGGAGCACGAAGGUUGGCUAAUCCUGGUCGGACAUCAGGAGGUUAGUGCAAUGGCAUAAGCCAGCUUGACUGCGAGCGUGACGGCGCGAGCAGGUGCGAAAGCAGGUCAUAGUGAUCCGGUGGUUCUGAAUGGAAGGGCCAUCGCUCAACGGAUAAAAGGUACUCCGGGGAUAACAGGCUGAUACCGCCCAAGAGUUCAUAUCGACGGCGGUGUUUGGCACCUCGAUGUCGGCUCAUCACAUCCUGGGGCUGAAGUAGGUCCCAAGGGUAUGGCUGUUCGCCAUUUAAAGUGGUACGCGAGCUGGGUUUAGAACGUCGUGAGACAGUUCGGUCCCUAUCUGCCGUGGGCGCUGGAGAACUGAGGGGGGCUGCUCCUAGUACGAGAGGACCGGAGUGGACGCAUCACUGGUGUUCGGGUUGUCAUGCCAAUGGCACUGCCCGGUAGCUAAAUGCGGAAGAGAUAAGUGCUGAAAGCAUCUAAGCACGAAACUUGCCCCGAGAUGAGUUCUCCCUGAGACUUUAGGUCUCCUGAAGGAACGUUGAAGACGACGACGUUGAUAGGCCGGGUGUGUAAGCGCAGCGAUGCGUUGAGCUAACCGGUACUAAUGAACCGUGAGGCUUAACCUUA
RNAcentral lists this ribosomal RNA (1191 nucleotides) under Salmonella enterica subsp. enterica. Its description in RNAcentral is "partial 23S ribosomal RNA". It matches the Rfam family "Bacterial large subunit ribosomal RNA", at positions 1742 to 2925 of the family's 2925-position model. The record is from RNAcentral. Lineage: Bacteria; Pseudomonadati; Pseudomonadota; Gammaproteobacteria; Enterobacterales; Enterobacteriaceae.